Molecule: long non-coding RNA, 208 nt
Filed under: Gallus gallus (chicken)
Lineage: Eukaryota; Metazoa; Chordata; Aves; Galliformes; Phasianidae
Source: RNAcentral
GAUGCAGGAGAAUUAUCCACUAUGAUAACUUUACUCAGCUCACGUCCCAGCCGACUCAGAUCCUUCACGUAAUUGCCCCGGUGGAAAACACAGGAUUCUCUAAAUAGCCUUGCCCUGAACACACCCCAGCGAUCCAGUAAGUCGGCUACUGGGUCUGCAUACUUGGCUAGACUUGCUGUGAAGAGAACACAUUCAAAGAGCUCUCCCA